Molecule: non-coding RNA, 25 nt
Filed under: Rattus norvegicus (Norway rat)
Lineage: Eukaryota; Metazoa; Chordata; Mammalia; Rodentia; Muridae
Source: RNAcentral
UGCUCUUCCAGAUGAUUCCUCCCCC